Molecule: ribosomal RNA, 450 nt
Filed under: uncultured Entrophospora
Lineage: Eukaryota; Fungi; Glomeromycota; Glomeromycetes; Entrophosporales; Entrophosporaceae
Description: SSU rRNA
Rfam family: Eukaryotic small subunit ribosomal RNA
Source: RNAcentral
AGCAGCCGCGGUAAUUCCAGCUCCAAUAGCGUAUAUUAAAGUUGUUGCAGUUAAAAAGCUCGUAGUUGAAAUUCGAAAAUUUGUCCUAUGGUCGGGCUUUACGGUCCGUACAGUAGUGGCGAAUUUCUACCUUCUGAAGAACCUUCAUGUCAUUAAUUUGGUGUGUUGGGAAAUCAGGACUGUUACUUUGAAAAAUUAGAGUGUUUAAAGCAGGCUAUAGUCUGAAUACAUUAGCAUGGAAUAAUGAAAUAGGACGGAUUGGUUCUAUUUUGUUGGUUUCUAGGAUCACCGUAAUGAUUAAUAGGGAUAGUUGGGGGCAUUAGUAUUCAAUUGUCAGAGGUGAAAUUCUUGGAUUUAUUGAAGACUAACUUCUGCGAAAGCAUUUGCCAAGGAUGUUUUCAUUAAUCAAGAACGAAAGUUAGGGGAUCGAAGACGAUCAGAUACCGUCGU